This 6172-nucleotide long non-coding RNA is filed under the name Gossypium barbadense (sea-island cotton). Its description in RNAcentral is "long non-coding RNA (GBAR_LNC020667)". Lineage: Eukaryota; Viridiplantae; Streptophyta; Magnoliopsida; Malvales; Malvaceae. The record is from RNAcentral.
ACAUUUUGCCCCUACACGUUUCAGUCCAAUUCUAUCUAUUUGUUAGGCGGCACUAAAAAAAUUACUAUUAUUUAUAUUUUUAGGGUGGUGUCACCUGGAAAAGUGGCAACACUCAACUCUACUAUAGAAAUCAGGUAAUUCUCAUAAUUAAUCUUGAAAUUGGGUCAUUUUCAUAAUUUUUUAAACUUAUAGUGUUAGAUUCCUAAAAAAACCCAUGUUAUGAGAUAUAGGAGUGUUAUUUCGAUCAUGAAGAUCUAGUUGGUCACUCAAUUUUUAGAAUACUUUCAUUUUGGUCACCCAAAAUAAAAUUCUUGUAAUUUAUCAUUCAAAUUUUAAGAUGCUUUCAUUUUAAUCACCUAAUCGCUAAAUAUCUAACGACAGUUAGACUAUACAUGCCACAUCAUGUUUAUACUUUUAUUUUGAUCACCCAAUUUCAUUUUUUUUCAAUAUUGAAAUUUUAAAUUUAAAAAGCAUAAAAAUCAAUUAAAUAAAUUGUUAAAAGAAUUUUGAUAAUCCAACCGAUUUGUUACUAAAAUAUUGAAAAUAAUUAAAUUAACUAAUUUAAUCUCUUUCUAAAUCGUAAAAUUUUAUUUUAUGUUUCUAUAUUAUUCUUAAUAAAAUCAACUCGAAUAACUCAUAUUUAAUAAUUGUCUAUGAAAAAUAUAAUCUUGAAUCUUUCAAUGCUAAGCUAAAAGCAAAGGAAAAUCCAUUAAUUGCUUGUUUAUCGUUUGGGUAAAAAUGUGAUGAAAAAUUUUAGGUUUUAUUUGGCAUGAAAAAUAAAAUUAAUUAAUUGUAAGGAUUUUUCUUUACUUUUAGCUUAGCAUGAAAAAUUCAAGAUCAUAUAAUCAUUCUGUUAAGAAAUUUUGAACAACCAAAAAGAAUUAAGUGUAAUUAACGAUACCAACAUUGUCCUAAUUCCAGAAGUUCAAAAUCCAAAAAAUAUGGGACAAUUUAGGCCAAUUAGCAUUUACAGUGUAGUUUAUAAAAUAAUCUCAAAAGAUAUAUAGUCAAUAGAUUUAGGAAGGCUCUUGGCUACUACAUUGAUGAUGCACAAGGCACUUUUGUCCUAAAUAGACAGAUUACAGAUAACAUAUUAGUGGCAUAUGAAUUAUUGUACUCUUUUAAGAAGAAAAGAUAUGGAUUGGGUAAUUUUGCUCUAAAACUAGACAUGACCAAAGCAUACGGUAGGAUUAAGUGGAUUUUCGUUGAAAAUAUGAUGAGAAAGCUUGGUUUUGUGACAAGUGGGUACCAUUGAUCAUGUGGUGCAUCAAAAGCGUUUCAUACUCAGUUGUGCUUAAUGGAGGGAAAGGGGUUGGUUUCAGUCCUACUAGAGGAAUAAGGUAAGGAGAUCCCUUAAGCCCAUAUUUAUUUAUCAUUUGUGCUGAGGGUUUUUCAAGACUUCUUAAUAUUGUAAAAAAGGGAAAGAAAAUAUAAGGGGGAAAAAUAGGUAGAGGGGGUGUGUCAAUAACCCACAUUUUUUUCGCUGAUGACAGUAUCUUAUUUGGAAAAGCAACAGUGGAAGGAGCUUUAGCAAUUCGAUCAGUUAUUAAUGCCUAUGAAAAAAUAUCGGGACAGAUGGUGAAUUUUAAAAAGUCAUUAAUUUACUUUAGCAACAAUGUCAACGAUACGGUUAAAUUGCAAAUAGGAAGGGAGUUGGGGGUUCGUAUGACCAACAAUCCGGAGAAAUACCUUGGAUUACUGACAAUGGUGGGGAGGCGAAAGAGAAAUGCUUUUGUGGAAAUAAAUAAUUUUUUUUUGACAAAAGUGAAAAACUGAAGCAUUCGCAAUUUGCCUAUUGGAGGAAAAGAGGUUUUUAUCAAAUCAGUCUUACAAGUCAUUCCAAUCUAUGCUAUGCAAUGUUGCAGAUUACCAAGUUCUUUAUGCCGGGAAUUAGAGAAUAUUAUGUGUAAAUUCUGGUGGUAAAAUUUAAAAACGGAUAAGGGUAUUUACUAGUGUUGGUGGUUGUCAUUAUGUAUCUUAAAGGCGCAAUGGGGGAUGAGAUUUAGAGAUUUAUCAAAUUUUAAUAAUGCCUUGUUGGCAAAGCAAGGAUGGAAGCUAAUCACCAAUCCUACAAGCUUCCUUGUACAAGUAAUGAAAUCUAAAUACUACCCAUGAAGUGACUUUUUGAAUGCCGAACUAGGGGCUUACCCUUCGUUUACCUGGAGAAACAUAUGGAACGCUCGGAGUAUUUUGGAAUCAAGACUGGGUUGAAGAAUCAGAGAGAGUAGAUCAGUUAACAUAUGAAACAAUCCAUGGUUUCCUGAGGAAGGAAAAUUAAAAUUUCAGAAUAUUGAUUAUAGGUACACUUUAGUUGCAGACCUUAUAAAUCAUGAAUAUGUCACCUGAAAGGAGGAAACCUUGAGAGGGUUUUUCCCAGAAGAACAAGCUAGUGAGAUUGGAUCCAUUCCUUUGGGGAACGCUCUGCAACUAGAUAUAAGGUUUUGGUAAGGUGACAGGUUGAGAGAAUACACGGUAAAAAACGGUUACAAAAGGUGUGUCUUAGAAGAUUUAAAUAUGAUGGGAAAUGAAAUUUCAACAGACCAGGAUCUAACUAGAAGUUAUUUUACAAAAAUUUGGAGUCUAAAAAUUCUCAGCAAUGUUCGAAUUAAUCUAUGGGAAAAUGAGUUUGUAAGCUACAUCUUCCGAGACUACAUCCUCGCAAAACAAGUCCUCCAGCAAAUGACACUGACAUUGGUCCCCCGUUCAUGAAAAUCAAGAAUGGAAACAAUGGUUAGCGGAGGCCUUCAAUCUCAAUAAUGCAUAUAAAUGUUCAUGCUUAGCAGUGUCAUUAUAGGCAAUAUGGCAUAACAAGAAUAUAUAUUUCCAUGAAGGCAUCCGACAAAGAACAUGCGAGAUUGUGGCUUAUAUUAAAGCAUACUUAGCGGAUCUUGAUAAGCUAAAGGAAGCACUAAAAUGUCAACAUAACACAGUGAUUACCCAUUGGGAGCCCCCAUCAAAAAGUCAAGUUAAAGUUAAUUUUGAUUCUGCAUUUCUUCAAUAAAGCAACAAAGCAGUAUCGGGAAUUAUCAUCAGAAACUAUACAGGACUUGUAAUAGGUUUGUGUUCUUACCUGAUCCACAACGUUAGAUAUCUAACAAUUUGUUAGAAUUGUGUGACCCAAAUUCUAAGAGAUUGCUUGCAAGUCAAGUUAAACAAAAAUAUAUUUUCUUUCUAGAAGAUUUAGUAUUUAUUAGUAUAAUAUAUUUAGCAUUUAUUAGUAUAGUUUAUUUGACUUACUAAUUUAGCCUAUAAAUAGGCUCCUUUACAAUCUUAGAAUAAAAGAGACACCCAUUAGAUUAGAACUCAUAACACAUUCAGAGAAUUUUGUGUUUACGUUUGAGGGUUCUUUGUUUUUCGAGUUUUCGGGGUUUAGUUUUUAUCUCCAUCUUUUGUACUCUUCAUUCUUUUGCCAUUAUAGUAAAAUUAUCUUUGCCCGUGGUUUUUUAUCCUCUUUUGAGGGGUUUUUCCACGUUAAAUUUGUGUGUUCAUCUUCUCAAUUUCUUCUACUAUUUUUACUUGUUCGUUGCUUAUUCGGGACGAUCCUAACAAGUGGUAUCAGAGCUAGUUUAACUUUCAUAGAUCAGCCCGGUCAGAGAUGGCAGCAACAAGGUUUGAAAUUGAGAAGUUCGAUGGUGAGACAAAUUUCAAUCUGUGGCAAGUUCGGAUGAUGGCAAUUCUAGUUCAAAAUGGCUUGAAAAAGGUUGUUACAGGGAAAAAGCCUGAGAAUCUAAAUCAAACAGAAUGGGAAGAGCUUGAUGAAAACGCCUUGUCUGCAAUCCAGUUGUGCCUCGCGAAUACAGUAUUGCAGGAGGUAUUGAUGGAGAAGACCUCAUUCGCCUUGUGGAAAAGGUUAGAAACUCUUUAUGCGACUAAGUCUCUGGCUAACCGUUUAGUGUUGAAACAACGUCUAUUUACGUUUCGCAUGAACGAAUGUGAGCUUCUUAAAGAUCACAUCAGUCAAUUCAUUACUCUUUUAAAUGAUUUAAAGAACGUUGAGGUUCAUAUUGACGAUGAAGAUCAAGCUAUGCUAUUAUUGUGCUCUUUACCCUCUUCAUACAAGUCUUUCAGGGAGACCCUGAUUUAUGGCAGAGACAAACUCUCGUUCGAAGAUGUGAAGGGUCAUUUGUUGAGUAGAGACAAACUCGACAAUGAGUUUGAUUUGAAUAGCAAAGCAGAUAGACAAGCUUCCGUUUUGGUAGCAUCAAAGAAACGAGACAAAAGGUGUCGCUAUUGCAAAAAGUUAGGUCACGUCAAAGUAGAUUGUUAUAAACUGCGAAAUAAAAGAGCUGCUGAGAGUAACGAGGAAGAUGUAGCUGGUGCUAAUUUGGUCGAUGAAGGCAGUGAUGAUUUCUUGUUAGUGUCAAUGAGCGAUAACUCCAAGCUUACGUCUGAGUGGAUCCUAGAUUCAGGAUGUUCUUUCCACAUGUGUCCCAAUAGAGAAUGGUUCUCCACAUACAGUUCAGUUGAAGGUGGAGUUGUGCACAUGGGAAACGAUUCAUCUAGUAAAAUAAUCGGUAUUGGUACUGUUAAAAUUAGGAUACACAAUGGGACGAUUAGGACACUCUCAGAUGUCAAGUAUGUACCUGAUUUACGAAAGAAUCUCAUCUCCUUGAGUAUUUUAGACUUGAAAGGAUGCAGAAUCAACAUCGAGUCGAGCGACAUUAAAGUAUCUCGUGGAGCUCUCGUUUUGUUAAAAGGUAAAAGAACCGGCAGUCUUUAUAUUCUGGAAGGUUCUACAGUGACCGGUGAAAUCGGACGUCCCUCGUCCGUUACGGAGUCAAAGUCAACUCAUUUGAAGCGGAGGUAACUUGGUCAUAGGAGGGAAAAAGGUAUGACCGUUUCGUUGAAGAGAGGUUCUCUUUUGGAUGCAGGUUUUGAAAAGUUAGGGCACUGUAUUCGUGAAAAUCAGACCCGGGUUAGUUUUGAUAUGGCAGUGCACAAGUCGAAGGCUAGAAGUCUUCCAGCUUCUAAGCAUAGAUUCGACUCAGUUAAUUCCCUGCAUAGUUCAAGAUAGGCCCGUGGCGGGUUUUGGCAAAGAUGGCAUUGAAAGAAUUCGUGUCAAGGUGGAGAUUGUUAGAAUUGUGUGACCCAAAUUCUAAGAGAUUGCUUGCAAGUCAAGUUAAACAAAAAUAUAUUUUCUUUCUAGAAGAUUUAGUAUUUAUUAGUAUAAUAUAUUUAGCAUUUAUUAGUAUAGUUUAUUUGACUUACUAAUUUAGCCUAUAAAUAGGCUCCUUUACAAUCUUAGAAUAAAAGAGACACCCAUUAGAUUAGAACUCAUAACACAUUCAGAGAAUUUUGUGUUUACGUUUGAGGGUUCUUUGUUUUUUGGGUUUUCGGGGUUUAGUUUUUAUCUCCAUCUUUUGUACUCUUCAUUCUUUUGCCAUUAUAGUAAAAUUAUCUUUGCCCGUGGUUUUUUAUCCUCUUUUGAGGGGUUUUUCCACGUUAAAUUUGUGUGUUCAUCUUCUCAAUUUCUUCUACUAUUUUUACUUGUUCGUUGCUUAUUCGGGACGAUCCUAACACAAUUGCUGAAGCGUAUACAUGCCUUAAAGGAGUCGUUUUUGCUGAAGAAAUAGGAUUUAGCGAUGUUAUCAUGGAAGAGGACUCAAGGAUUGUCAUUAAAAAACUGCAAAACCAUGGAAAUGAUAGAUCAACCAUCAGGGGAGUUAUAAACAAAAUAAUAGCAAUGUCAAGAAUUUUCUGGAAUAUUGAGUUCCGGUUCAUACCACGAGAAGCCAACGGAACGGCGUAUGCGAUGGCUGCAAGGGGCAGAGGAAGUAAUUUUUUGACUUUCUAGGUAGAAGAAACUCCAUUAGAGGUUGAACCUAUCAUAGCUAGAUACCAAAGAAGAACUGACUAAUAAAAAAAUAUAUGGAUGUUUGAUGGGCUAACUUCGAAAAAGGAAAAGGGUUAACAAAGCUCAGAGGAACUCAGAAGAUGAUGGACCGGGGGAAUGAAGUCAAGACGAGAACAAAGGAUUUGCUUUAACAGGUCUACCGUUGAAAUGAAUUUUGGCGACGCGACAAAAGGAGAGAAGAACGAGGGAAGGUUAAGUCUUUAGGGCUUUCUUGUUGUGUGUUUUUUUUUAGAAAGUUUGCGUUUUCUUCACCCACAAAAGAGCAAGGGACUGGUUUUAUCUUAGGAAAUGAAAAAUCGAGGCUUCGCCCACACUUUC